Long non-coding RNA from Ornithorhynchus anatinus (platypus), 930 nucleotides. RefSeq lists it as uncharacterized. The record is from RefSeq and is a predicted model, not a curated record. Lineage: Eukaryota; Metazoa; Chordata; Mammalia; Monotremata; Ornithorhynchidae. The transcript is spliced from 3 exons.
GGUGUUCAAACCCCAUUCUACCCACAACUCCUGGGGUGGGUGAACCCCCAACCCCCAGACAGGUGGGACCUUAGGAGUCAACAGACAGAGGCUGCUCGACACAUCUCCUCGUCCGGUGGACUAUUUCUCUGCGGUGUGGGCACCGUGAGGUCCGUCCCCAGAUUAAUGGAGCCAGAUGGAUGGAGCCAGAGCUGCACUGCCAUGCGAAAGGGAAGCUCUGAGUUCACUGGUUUGUCUCAAUGACUGAUGGGAGAGGCUCAUUGGCUGCUCAAGGCAUCUUCAUGAUCUCAAGCCCCACUGUCAAGCAGAGAGAGCACCAGUCGCCUUUUCAGAUCUGGGGGGGUAAGGGAGACCCCUGUCCCCAAAGAGACAUGGAACCAUUCUGCCACUCCAUUGGAAAGAGUUUUUCAUGUAGGUGUGUGCAUUCACAUGAACGGUGGGGUUAAGUUUGGAGGGGAGAAGGGUUAGGUGGGGGCUGCCGCUCUGUGUUCAGAGGCCUAUUCUGGAAAAGAGAGGUUGGGGUUUUCUGCAGGUUGCUGCCUUCAUUUGAUGCAACUGUGGGACUGAGAAGAUGCAGGGCCAUGAAUUCUAUGGAUGGGUCAUACCUUCCUGCAUCUACAGUCCCGUUAUCAAGGUCACCCUUCAAACCCUUAGCCCCCUGAGAAGGGACUGGCCUAAGCCUGCUGGUGGUGGCUUCUGGGGAGGUUGGUCUAGUGUCGGGAGUAAGAUAAGGGUAGCAUCAAAAGGUCCACGCCUUCUUCCCUGAGAAGCAGAGCUGUACAACUUCCCAUCCAAGACCAAAUCAGCAGAGAUGUGGGUGGGGAGGGUUAGACCAGGGCUUUGUACUAGAAAUUGACUUGUACAGUUGUGCUGGACCUCCAGUCUUUGAAGAAUGAGCCCCUCCUGGACUAACAGAGCUGGGAUUCUGAG